This 403-nucleotide ribosomal RNA is filed under the name uncultured bacterium. RNAcentral's name for it is "partial 16S ribosomal RNA". It matches the Rfam family "Bacterial small subunit ribosomal RNA", at positions 29 to 526 of the family's 1533-position model. The record is from RNAcentral.
AUUGAACGCUGGCGGCAGGCCUAACACAUGCAAGUCGAGCGAGCGGCGGACGGGUGAGUAAUGUAUGGGGACUGCCCGAUAGAGGGGGAUAAGUACUGGAAACGGUGGCUAAUACCGCAUACUAUCGGAUAAACCAUAUGGGAUUAGCUAGUAGGUGGGGUAAAGGCUCACCAAGGCGACGAUCGCUAGCUGGUCUGAGAGGAGGAUCAGCAACACUGGGACUGAGACACGGCCCAGACUCCUACGGAGGCAGCAGGAGGGAAUAUUGCACAAGGGGCGCAAGCCUGAGCGAGCAACGCCGCGUGGAUGAAGAAGGUCUUAGGGGUGUAAAGUACUUUCGUCAGAGAAGCGUUAUCUGACGAGAAAGCAACGGCUAACUCCGUGCCAGCCGCCGCGGUAAUUC